Molecule: ribosomal RNA, 301 nt
Filed under: uncultured bacterium
Lineage: Bacteria
Description: partial 16S ribosomal RNA
Rfam family: Bacterial small subunit ribosomal RNA
Source: RNAcentral
CAGCAGCCGCGGUAAAACGGAGGAUCCAAGCGUUAUCCGGAUUUAUUGGGUUUAAAGGGUGCGUAGGCGGCUUUUUAAGUCAGGGGUGAAAGACGGUAGCUUAACUAUCGCAGUGCCCUUGAUACUGAAGAGCUUGAAUAUAGUUGAGGUAGGCGGAAUGUGACAAGUAGCGGUGAAAUGCAUAGAUAUGUCACAGAACACCAAUUGCGAAGGCAGCUUACUAAGCUAUGAUUGACGCUGAGGCACGAAAGCGUGGGGAUCAAACAGGAUUAGAUACCCCGGUAGUCCCUGUCUCUUAUAC